UUUUUUAAGUAGGAGUUAAAGCCCAUAAUCGGUUUACGUCUGAUUUUCUUAGUGAAGCCCCUCUACAGCCAGAGGGGAGGUUUGCAGCGCAUGGGACCCGCGUGCUGUGACCAGGCACCCUGGCCCAGAGGCGAGGCCCGGUGCCCACCCCUGACCCCUGCUGCCAGCUGGGCCUGGGCGGCCCCUUCCUCUCCCCUGGAAUGCAGUUCCUCAUCUAUAAAAGCAAGUGCUUGAGCCUCAUGGCUAAGUACUGUUGAUUCUGAAGCGUUAUUACGCCAGUGCAUUUGUAGUUAUAGGAUGUUGGUCCACGUUCCCUUGUAGAAUGGUUAAAAUUCCUACAGGAGGUGAAGACCGCAGCCCCCGAGUUGAUAAUGUGCUUCGCGUCAGGUGUUGUUUUGUUUCUUCUGCAUCUUUACCUUCACCUUCUCUUCACGAGCGUCUGCAGACACUGUUUUAUGUGAGUGAACCAGCUGUAAGGUUUUUUAUUCCUUCUACAUGAUAACUCAGUUUUGACAUAAAGGGGAGCGAAUGCCCUCCGCACGUGUUAUAGUCCAGGGUGGAGUGUGGGUUGCGGCCCAUGUGAGACCCCCGUCGUUACAUGGCUUUCCACAGUGGGCUCCAGCUCCACAGGUGCACUUGUUACUUUGAUAGGUUCACAGGAAGUUCUAAGCACGUUCCAAGAGGUCCCCUGUAUACCUCACCCGCUUCCCCCUACUAGUUACAGCUUACAUGACUGUAGGACAGUAUCAAAGCGAGGAAACUGACGUUGGCACGAGGUGUGUGUCCUUCUUUGUCACGUUACCGCACAUGUAGAUCUGUGUGGUCACCACCUCCCCCAAGACACAUGGCUCUCACCCCACCACCCAGCUCUCCCCUGCGCUCGUCACACCUAACCGCCCCCCGCCCCGAAACCCCUGGCAGCCACGAAUCUGUUCUCUGUCUCUGUGACUUAGUCAUUUUGAGAUGUGACAUAAAUGGGAGUUUGGCUUUUCCAGCUCGGCAUCAUGCCUUCCAUCCAGGCUGUGUGGGGCAGUAGUUCGUUCCUUUUUAUUGCUGAGUAAUCAGUAUCCCACUGUGUGGGUUCCACCUGUGUUUCCUGAAGGACACAGUGGCUCAGCCCAGUGUUUGGCUCCUACAGAUAGAGCUGCUUUGAACAGUCACGCGCAGGCUUAGAGUAGACGUAAUCUGCCUUUCUCUGGGAUAAAUGCCCAGGAGUGCAGUUGAUCAGUUGCAUCAUCAGGGUAAGUUUAGCUUAAGAAGCUGCUAACUCAUCUCCCACGGGGGCUGUGCCGUUUUCCAUUCCCAGCCCCAGGGCAGGGGAGACCCGGCUUCUCCGCAUCCUCGCCGGCACCUGGUGGUGUGGCUGCUUUCUAUCUUGGCUACUCUUCUAGGAUUAGACAAAGCUGCUCUAAACUGUUACAAGCCGUGUGACCUGUCUUCCCAUUCAGAGUUGUCCAUUUAAUUAACAGCUUUCUGCUGUGAAACUCCGGGUGCUGUUAUUGCUGCCUUGAAGUAGGUCUCUGCCGAAAUCUAGCUGUGCUUUAUUAUGAAGCUGCCCCAGAUUAACACGGGGUCCUCGGCUCUGUGGAGGCCUUGCAUUGUGUGUGCUGUUGAAGUGGAUGGAAAAUCCCACCAGAAUUUCCCGGAGGCCCUUGCGGCUUCAUGGCCUCUGACGAGGGUGUAACCCCCUCCAGCAGCCUUGGUGAGACAGUGGCUGGGAAGAUCCCACAUGCUGCAGAGCACCUGAGCCCGUGUGCCACAACUACUAGCCCCCGUGCCACAACUACUGAAGCCCACGCGCCUAGAGCCCGUGCUCCGCAACAAGAGAAGCCACCGCAACAAGAAGCCCGCGCACCGCAACAAAGAGCAGCCCCCGCUCGCUAUAACUAGAGAAAGCCCGCGUGCAGCAACCAAGACCCAACGCAGCCAUAAAUCAAUAA
Lagenorhynchus albirostris (white-beaked dolphin) is the source of this 1940-nucleotide long non-coding RNA. RefSeq lists it as uncharacterized. The transcript is spliced from 3 exons. Lineage: Eukaryota; Metazoa; Chordata; Mammalia; Artiodactyla; Delphinidae. The record is from RefSeq and is a predicted model, not a curated record.